RNAcentral lists this ribosomal RNA (253 nucleotides) under uncultured bacterium. Its description in RNAcentral is "partial 16S ribosomal RNA". It matches the Rfam family "Bacterial small subunit ribosomal RNA", at positions 524 to 776 of the family's 1533-position model. The record is from RNAcentral.
UACAGAGGUGGCAAGCGUUGUUCGGAAUUACUGGGCGUAAAGGGCUGGUAGGCGGCCAACUAAGUCGGAUGUGAAAUCCCCAGGCUUAACCUGGGAACUGCAUCCGAUACUGGUCGGCUUGAAUCCGGGAGAGGGAUGCAGAAUUCCAGGUGUAGCGGUGAAAUGCGUAGAUAUCUGGAGGAAUACCGGUGGCGAAGGCGGCAUCCUGGACCGGCAUUGACGCUGAACAGCGAAAGCUAGGGGAGCAAACGGG